UGGAGGUGGGACAUAUUAAUGUGUCAUGUUGUUACUACGUUUUUUUUUUCAAUUGCUAACAUGCAUUGGUCAAAUCUGAAGUUAGAUUGUCAAAACUCUUCACACAGUCAGCGAAACAGAAGUGUAUGUGGACCAAACUGUGAAUAAUUUUUCAUUGCUUUCACACAAAAUGCUUUCAAUGACCACAUUCUCUGAAAUCCAUGAACUCUUUUCUCAUUCAUACUCCACCACAUGCAAAACUAUAUAUUUGCAGCAUGUUUUCAAAUGCUGACACACUGUUUACAAAACUGUUAAAAACACAUUCAAAACAGAAUGAUGGCAAAUGUUGUGCAUUUCUGCAGUAACCAGAUUGAAACAUAUAGAAAAUCUCAGCAGAAAAUGUAAUUAUUCCAAACACAGCUGAUUGCAAUUUCAACUGAAAGCCUACCCAAGUGUCCUGUUUUUAGUCUCGUUACCAAACAGACAUAAGAGGACGGCUUCGGAAUGAUUUAGUUUGGAAACAUAGAUCAAGGAAGACAGGUUGGUGGGGAAAGAAGAGUGACAGGGAGCGAGAGGGAGAAUGCAUGGAGGACAAAGGAGAGGAAGACCAAGAGCGGUGGUCUCUGAUGAGAUAAGGGCCACAAUUAUUGACCAUGUUGUAAACCAUGUUCUCUCUUUGAGAGGGGCCGGUUUAAGGGUGUAUCCAAAUCUGCAGCGUUCAAUAGUUGCAUCAAUAGUACGAAUUUUCCGUUAAAACAAAAGGUGAGAUGUGCAUCCUUCAAUGAUAAUUGAACUAUUAUUGCAGUACAAUACAGUAUGUUCACAUUUUUACAUGUACUGACAUUUUGAAAUAUAUUUAUUGUUUUGUGUUUUUCAGUAGGAUCCAAAGGUUGCCUCCCACAGGAGGGAGAGGCAGAAUAGUAUCAGAUGCGAAAGAAAUUGCCAUUGUUGACGUGGUAAUUGGCAACAAUACAAUAAAACUGAGGGAAAUUCAGGACAGAGUGCUGGCAGACAAUAUCACUUUUGGGAAUGUGAAUACAGUCAGCACAACGAUAAUUGUCAGAGUCCUAGAGAAACUAAGGAUGAAGCAGUUAUACACUGUACCCUUUGAGAGAAACGGUAAAAGUGUGAAUGACCUCUGGUGUCAAUAUGUCCAGAGAGGAAUGGAGAUGGAAUCCAGGCAAGCUGCACAUACAUUCAUCUUUGUGGAUGAAGCUGGAUUCAACUUGGCAAAAACACGCCGCAGACAUGUGAUUGGACAGAGAGCAACCGUGGAUGUCCCAGGUCAGAGAGGAGCUAACAUCACAAUGUGUGCAGCACUGUCCAAUGAUGGUUUUCUGUUACACAAACCACUCAUUGGCCCCUACAAUACAGAGAGGCUCGUUUAUUUUCUGGAUGAGCUGCAUAAUCUACUUGUGCCAACGGAGGAGAGAGGAGCAAGAAACUCCCCUACCGUCGUUGUUGUGUGGGAUAAUGUGGCAUUCCAUCACGUUGCUGCACGUCCCAGGAUGUCAGUACUAUUCCUGCCUCCAUACUCCCCCUUCCUAAACCCUAUAGAGGAGUUUUUCUCUGCGUGGAGGUGGAAGGUGACCAUCAUCCAUAUGACCAGAUGUCCUUAACUGGAUGCGGGGUGUAGAUACGCUUCUCCUGAAGACUGCCAGGGUGUAGAGACACUUCUCCUGAAGACUGCCAGGGUGUAGAGACACUUCUCCUGAAGACUGCCAGGGUGUAGAGACACUUCUCCUGAAGAAUGCCAGGGUGUAGAGACACUUCUCCUGGAGACUGCCAGGGUGUAGAGACACUUCUCCUGAAGAAUGCCAGGGUGUAGAGACACUUCUCCUGGAGACUGCCAGGGUGUAGAGACACUUCUCCUGAAGAAUGCCAGGGUGUAGAGACACUUCUCCUGGAGACUGCCAGGGUGUAGAGACACUUCUCCUGAAGACUGCCAGGGUGUAGAGACACUUCUCCUGGAGACUGCCAGGGUGUAGAGACACUUCUCCUGAAGACUGCCAGGGUGUAGAGACACUUCUCCUGAAGACUGCCAGGGUGUAGAGACACUUCUCCUGGAGACUGCCAGGGUGUAGAGACACUUCUCCUGGAGACUGCCAGGGUGUAGAGACACUUACAUUUACAUUUAAGUCAUUUAGCAGACGCUCUUAUCCAGAGCGACUUACAAAUUGGUGCAUUCACCUUAUGACAUCCAGUGGAACAGGUUUAAACUUCUUUUCACAAGUAAAUUACUAAAUGCAAAGCUAUAAAAAAAUAAAGGCUAUUGAAGCAAAUUGCUGCAUUUGUGAUUCAUUCUGGUCACAUACAGUUGAAGUCGGAAGUUCACAUACACUUAGGUUGGAGUCAUUUAAACUCGUUUUUCAACCACUCCACAAAUUACUUGUUAACAAACUAUAGUUUUGGCAAGUCGGUUAGGACAUCUACUUUGUGCAUGACACAAUUUUUCCAACAAUUGUUUACAGACAGAUUAUUUAACUUAUAAUUCACUGUAUGACAUUUCCAGUGGCUCAGAAGUUUACAUACACUAAGUUGACUGUGGCUUUAAAACAGCUUGGAAAAUUCAAGAAAAUGAUGUCAUGGCUUUAGAAGCUUCUGAUAGGCUAUUUGACAUCGUUUGAGUCAAUUGGAGGUGUACCUGUGGAUUUAUUUCAAGGCCUACCUUCAAACUCACUGCCUCUUUGCUUGACAUCAUGGGGAAAUCAAAAUAAAUCAGCCAAGACCUCGGAAAAAAAUGGUAGACCACAAGUGUGGUUCAUCCUUGGGAGCAAUUUCCAAAUGCCUGAAGGUACCAUGUUCAUCUGUACAAACAAUAGUACGCAAGUAUAAACACCAUGGGACCACACAGCCAUCAUACCGCUCAGGAAGAUGCGUUCUGUCUCCUAGAGAUUAACGUACUUUGGUGCGAAAAUAGCAAAUCAAUCUCAGAUCAACAGCAAAGGACACUGUGAAGAUGCUGGAGGAAACAGGUACAAAAGUUUCUAUACCCACAGUAAAACGAGUCCUAUAUAUAUCAACAUAACCUGAAAUGCCGCUCAGCAAGGAAAAAGCCACUGCCCCAAAACCGCCAUACAAAAAGCCAAACUACGGGUUUGCAACUGCACAUGGGGACAAAGAUCGUACUUUUUGGAGAAAUGUCCUCUGGUCUGAUGAAACAAAAAUAGAACUGUUUGGCUAUAAUGAUCAUCAGCUUGCAAGCUGAAGAAAACCAUCCCAACCAUGAGGCACGGGGGUGGCAGCAUCAUGUUGUGGGGGUGCUUUGCUGCAGGAGGGACUGGUGCACUUCACAAAAUAGAUGGCAUCAUGAGGAGUAAAGUUAUGUGGGUAUAUUGAAGCAACAUCUCAAGACAUCAGUCGGGAAGUUAAAGCUUGGUCGCAAAUGGGUCUUCCAAAUGGACAAUGACCCCAAGCAUACUUCCAAAGUUGUGGCAAAAUGGCUUAAGGACAACAAAGUCAAGGUAUUGGAGUGGCCAUCACAAAGCCCUGACCUCAAUCCUAUUGAACAUUUGUGGGCAGAACUGAAAAAGCGUGUGCGAGCAAGGAGGCCUACAAACCUGACUCAGUUACACCAGCUCUGUCAGGAGGAAUGGGCCAAAAUUCACCCAACCUAUUGUGGGAAGCUUGUGGAAGGCUACCCAAAACGUUUGACCCAAGUUAAACAAUUUAAAGGCAAUGCUAUCAAAUACUAAUUGAGUGUAUGUAAACUUCUGACCCACUGGGAAUGUGAUGAAAGAAAUAAAAGUGAAAAUAAUUCAUUCUCUCUACUAUUAUUCUGACAUUUCACAUUCUUAAAAUAAAGUGGUGAUCCUAACUGACCUAAGACAGGGAAUUUUUACUAGGAUUAAAUGUCAGGAAUUGUGAAAAACUGAGUUUAAAUGUAUUUGGCUAAGGUGUAUGUAAAAUUCCAACUUCAACUGUGUACGUUAGUACAGUCAAUAAAUUAUUCUAAAAUUAAAUACUGAUUUAUGUAAAAAAUCAUUCAAACUUCAAAGAGAAAGUUAAUUGUUUAUGUAUUUGCUCCCUGUUGUUAAUGUUUUUUUUAGGUCAGUGUGUUAUGAGUGACAAUGUAUGCUUCCUGAGUGAGAAUUGUUGGAAGUGUAUGUCGAACAAGCUAAAUUUGGGACAUGAAUGAAGUGACUGAGUUUUGGAGGUGAGAUGAACUGUUUGGCCAAAAUAUAUGUUGGUAAUGUAGACCGUGUGAAGAGUUUUGAAAAAGUGACUUCAGUAUUGACCGAUGCUUGUUAGCAAUUGAAAAAAUCGGUAAUGUGCCAUGUGGCUGCUUUGUUGUUCUGCUACUGUACACACCUCCGAACGAGGCAGCAGUCUGCUGUUUUUCAUUUAUUAGCUCGCUUUCCAUCCAAUUAGCAAAAGAUUUUCACGUGAAUAUUCAAAUAUAUGCAUGAAGAAAACAUACUAAUUUUCACACCAGUGGUGUGUUCCCACCAAAUGUACAUGAUGCAGAUAAAAAUCAGAGCGUGAUGACGUAGUGCACACAAAAUGUACUUUUUGGUUGAAGUUUUCACAUACCGAAUAAAAAUCUAAAGUUCAA
This is a long non-coding RNA of Oncorhynchus keta (chum salmon), 4534 nucleotides long. RefSeq lists it as uncharacterized. The transcript has 2 exons. The record is from RefSeq and is a predicted model, not a curated record. NCBI's taxonomy places the organism in Eukaryota, Metazoa, Chordata, Actinopteri, Salmoniformes, Salmonidae.